GAAUGAGUGUGUGAAAGAAGGAAGCAGACAUCUCAGCCACUGUGUAGACCAGGUAUCAUAUCAAUCCUAUGUGGAAUCCUCAGGAACAGUAGGAACUGAUGCAGAUUUGGGCCUCACAGGCACUAAAAGAAAAAGUUCAAAGCAAAUGCAGUAUCAGGGUGAGAAUCUUCAUUUUAUACUUUGUUAAUACGUGUAACCUAACUAAAUCUGGAUUUCAAAGAUUAAACAGAAAUUCAUAUGGACAUCCAGAAAGAAGGCAAAAAAAAAAAAAAAAAAAAAAGGUCAAGUACAGAUAGCUUCAGAUUCCUCCCUAGCAAUCUUCUCUACAGAAGACAGAGGAGAAGGUUUAUACCUUUGUUGUUCAGAAAUGCGACUCACGCACCAGCAGCUCCGGGAUUACUUGGGAGCUUAUUAGGAAUGCAGGAUCUCUGCUGCCAUUCCAUAUCUACUGAAUCAGAAUCUGCACGUGACCAGAUUUUUAGGUGAUUCUUAUGCAUACGAAAUUCUGAGGGAACAAAAAUGUGAUACAGUUUUUAAAAGUCCACCCAAAGAGUCUCUAGUAUAGAGACAACAAAUUCUCAAAUCUGAAAGAAUAAAGCAGUGAUUCUCAACCAGGCUGCUUCUUUGACCCUUGUUUGUAACUUCCUUUGGCCUUUUUGUUUUUUCCUACUAAGAGCGCUUAUUCUCUUAGUGUAAUUUCUCUGAGAUUGGAGAUAUUUACUCGUCUGUACAUUAGGACCCUUUGAGAAUUUUUAAAAAAUACUGUUGCAUGGAUCAUACUGUUAGAGAAACUGGUUGAAUUGGUUUGGAAUGAUAGCCAAAAGUCAUUGGUUUUUCAGAAGCUCUCAGGUCAUUACAGUAUGAAGCCAAGGUUGAGAAUCAUUGACUCAAGGGAAAAUCAACCCAUAAAUCUCAAGAGGGUUUCUCUUGAAAGAACCACUGAAAGAUGGACACCAGACAACAAAGCAAGGAAUCAAGAGAAAGAGCUUAGGAAUGAAGAAGUUGUGGCGAGAGAAACACCUCAAGUCCUGGGAGUAAGAAGCCCAUUGUCUUCCCGAAACAAAGCAGCAGAGCAAAUUUACAUCAAGACAAACAGCCGACUUCUCCGGGGCUCAGCAUCUCUUCACCUCCUCAGGGGUCCCAGGGAACCGCUGGGAUCGCGGGCUCGCGAGCCCUGGGGCCGACGGGCGGUAGCUGCUGCCCUCUAGCGGAGCUCCUUGUUACUGCAGACUCUAGGUUGACCAAUGCCUGGGAAAGAAAGGUUUGAAUGAUGCGGAUAACCGAGAACUUUGUAGUCUGUAAUUCUCUCGGAAUGAAUUAACACAUUUUUUUUUGUAAUUACCUGAAUAAAUAGUCAUUUAAAUGUUUUCUGGGGCA
This 1377-nucleotide long non-coding RNA is filed under the name Canis lupus dingo (dingo). RNAcentral describes it as "lncRNA (ENSCAFG00020012837.1)". The record is from RNAcentral. Lineage: Eukaryota; Metazoa; Chordata; Mammalia; Carnivora; Canidae.